CAAAGGUAGCAUAAUCACUUGCCUAUUAAUUGUAGGCUAGAAUGAAAGGGUUAACGAAAUAAAGACUGUCUCAAUUAGCCACCUAAAAAUUAUUCUCUAUCCGAAGAAAGAUAGAUACUCUCGAAGGACAAGAAGACCCUAUAGAGCUUCAUUUUACUUAUAGAAUAUACUAUAAAAAUAUUCGGUUGGGGCGACCCUGGGCUAAAUAAUCACCCACUACAUAAAAGAUAUAUAAAUCUAGUAAAUGACCCUAUAAAGAUCACAAGAACAAGCUACCUUAGGGAUAACAGGCUAAUCCCAUUCAAGAGUCCUUAUCAACAAUGGGGUUUGGCACCUCGAUGUUGGCUUAGGGUAUCUAUAUAGCGCAAAAGUU
RNAcentral lists this ribosomal RNA (373 nucleotides) under Pheretima timpoongensis. RNAcentral describes it as "partial 16S rRNA". It matches the Rfam family "Bacterial large subunit ribosomal RNA", at positions 1951 to 2563 of the family's 2925-position model. The record is from RNAcentral. Lineage: Eukaryota; Metazoa; Annelida; Clitellata; Crassiclitellata; Megascolecidae.